RNAcentral lists this ribosomal RNA (388 nucleotides) under uncultured bacterium. RNAcentral's name for it is "bacterial SSU rRNA". It matches the Rfam family "Bacterial small subunit ribosomal RNA", at positions 975 to 1363 of the family's 1533-position model. The record is from RNAcentral.
CUACCCUUGACAUGUGCGGAAUCCUGCAGAGAUGCAGGAGUGCCCGAAAGGGAACCGCAAUCACAGGUGCUGCAUGGCUGUCGUCAGCUCGUGUCGUGAGAUGUUGGGUUAAGUCCCGCAACGAGCGCAACCCUUGCCAUUAGUUGCUACAUUCAGUUGAGCACUCUAAUGGGACUGCCGGUGACAAACCGGAGGAAGGUGGGGAUGACGUCAAGUCCUCAUGGCCCUUAUGGGUAGGGCUACACACGUCAUACAAUGGCGCGUACAGAGGGUUGCCAACCCGCGAGGGGGAGCCAAUCCCAGAAAGCGCGUCGUAGUCCGGAUUGGAGUCUGCAACUCGACUCCAUGAAGUCGGAAUCGCUAGAAUCGCGGAUCAGCAUGUCGCGGU